AGAGUUUGAUCAUGGCUCAGGACGAACGCUGGCGGCGUGCCUAACACAUGCAAGUCGAACGGAGUAUUCAGCAAUGGAUACUUAGUGGCGAACGGGUGAGUAACGCGUAGACAACCUACCUUCUAGCUGGGGACAACACUGCGAAAGUGGUGCUAAUACCGAAUGUUGUAUUUGUGGUGCAUACUAUAGAUACUAAAGGCGGCCUCUAUUUAUAAGCUGUCACUAGAAGAUGGGUCUGCGUCUGAUUAGCUAGUUGGUGAGGUAAUGGCUCACCAAGGCGACGAUCAGUAGCCGGUCUGAGAGGAUGAACGGCCACACUGGGACUGAGACACGGCCCAGACUCCUACGGGAGGCAGCAGUGGGGAAUCUUCCGCAAUGGACGCAAGUCUGACGGAGCAACGCCGCGUGAGUGAAGAAGGUUUUCGGAUCGUAAAACUCUGUUUUCAGGGACGAAUGUGCUACUUAGUAAUACGAAGUAGUAAUGACGGUACCUGAGUAGAAAGCCACGGCUAACUACGUGCCAGCAGCCGCGGUAAUACGUAGGUGGCAAGCGUUGUCCGGAAUUAUUGGGCGUAAAGCGCGCGCAGGUGGGAUAUUAAGUCUGGUGUAAAAGAUCGGGGCUCAACCCCGUUAAGCAUUUGGAAACUGAUAUUCUUGAGUGCAGGAGAGGAAAGUGGAAUUCCUAGUGUAGCGGUGAAAUGCGUAGAUAUUAGGAGGAACACCAGUGGCGAAGGCGACUUUCUGGACUGUGUCUGACACUGAGGCGCGAAAGCUAGGGAAGUGAACAGGAUUAGAUACCCU
This 801-nucleotide ribosomal RNA is filed under the name uncultured Bacilli bacterium. RNAcentral describes it as "bacterial SSU rRNA". It matches the Rfam family "Bacterial small subunit ribosomal RNA", at positions 8 to 788 of the family's 1533-position model. The record is from RNAcentral. Lineage: Bacteria; Bacillati; Bacillota; Bacilli.